UACGGAGGAUGCGAGCGUUAUCCGGAUUUAUUGGGUUUAAAGGGUGCGUAGGCGGCCUGCCAAGUCAGCGGUAAAAUUGCGGGGCUCAACCCCGUACAGCCGUUGAAACUGCCGGGCUCGAGUGGGCGAGAAGUGUGCGGAAUGCGUGGUGUAGCGGUGAAAUGCAUAGAUAUCACGCAGAACCCCGAUUACGAAGGCAGCAUACCGGCGCCCUACUGACGCUGAGGCACGAAAGUGCGGGGAUCAAACAGG
Molecule: ribosomal RNA, 252 nt
Filed under: uncultured bacterium
Lineage: Bacteria
Description: partial 16S ribosomal RNA
Rfam family: Bacterial small subunit ribosomal RNA
Source: RNAcentral